Molecule: transfer RNA, 72 nt
Filed under: Ovis aries (sheep)
Lineage: Eukaryota; Metazoa; Chordata; Mammalia; Artiodactyla; Bovidae
Rfam family: tRNA
About the family: Transfer RNA (tRNA) molecules are approximately 80 nucleotides in length. Their secondary structure includes four short double-helical elements and three loops (D, anti-codon, and T loops).
Source: Rfam by way of RNAcentral
UCCCUAGUGGCUCAGACGGUAAAGCGUCUGCCUGCAAUGCAGGAGACCCGGGUUCGGUCCCUAGGUCGGGAA